CUGUAACUGGUGCUAAAUCAGUACUGAUGGUCUGUGUAACAAUAAAAAUGUAGAAGAAGUUUAGUGUUGUAACUGAAAAUCACAUUUAGAAAAAUUUGGAUUCUACAGCUUUAAUAUAAACAAAGAAACUAGAAGUGAUACAUAUUUAAUAAACAUUAAAAAAAAGUAAAAAUCCAGAUAAAUCAGGUUUAAUUUAUGGCUGAUAAAGAUAGAAACCUGGUUCAUAUAUGUGAAAUAUAAAUUAAGCCUUUAUACUGUCCUCUAUAGCAAAUAGUUGGCACAGUAAUAGAGAAAAAAAAACAGUUUUUCAUUGUAAACAGAAUGAAUACAGCAUAUUUUACAGAAAAAAUCUUUAUUGGUGGGCCCUACAGAAUGUCAAAAGCAAAA
Long non-coding RNA from Sphaeramia orbicularis (orbiculate cardinalfish), 387 nucleotides. RefSeq lists it as uncharacterized. The transcript has 2 exons. Lineage: Eukaryota; Metazoa; Chordata; Actinopteri; Kurtiformes; Apogonidae. The record is from RefSeq and is a predicted model, not a curated record.